This is a long non-coding RNA of Oncorhynchus tshawytscha (Chinook salmon), 1371 nucleotides long. NCBI's taxonomy places the organism in Eukaryota, Metazoa, Chordata, Actinopteri, Salmoniformes, Salmonidae. The record is from Ensembl.
GUUCAAGAAGCUUUAAAUGAGUCAAGGCUGGGCAAGAUGGUACAUUUCACAGAGCAUUAAAUCAGGGUGCCAUUGUAUACACACCACAAAGAACAAGUAGACAUUAUUUCACCGGCUAAGGAAGUUUGACGUGUGUAUCUCAAGUAAGAUUCGGCUGCUAAGCCAUUAGGUAUGCUCAGUAAAGGAAAUGGUAGUGGUGUGCCUCAAAUGCUACACCCAAAAAAACAUUACAGUAAAAAGCAACAAAUAUAUAAACGGCAUUUUCACUAAUCUGGGUUGAAAGAUGAAUCUCUUGAACCCAUUCAAUUAUGUAAACCAAUUGCUUAGCGGUGACAACUUUUUCUCCCCCCUUACUGUAUUCCUAAAUCUAAGAACUGGACAGAUCACAGAUCACUGCCUCAGCUAAUGUUUUAAUCAAUUUUACAGAUCAAGCUGCAAAAAAUACAAUGAAAUCAAACAAAGAAAAUCCAUCAAGCUUGAUUUUCACUCGGAUGAAUUGGUUGAUUGAUACAAGUCGUUUUACUAUGCAGGAGACGGCUAGCACUGCAUGCCAUAUAUCAAGCCCCUAUCAUCAUAAUAAAACAGUGAUAGCCUUCUAUGGUAGAGGCAUUAUCUAUGCCUUUUAUUUUUUGUAUCUUUAUUUAACUAGGCAAGUCAGUUACAAACAAAUUCUUAUUUUCAAUGACGGCCUAGGAACAGUGGGUUAACUGCCUGUUCAGGGGCAGAACGACAGAUUUGUACCUUGUCAGCUCAGGGAUUUGAACUUGCAACCUUUCGGUUACUAGUCCAACGCUCUAAGCACUAGGCUACCCUGCCGCCCCAAGCUACCCUGCCGCCCCAAGCUACCCUGCCGCCCCAAGCUACCCUGCCGCCCCAAGCUACCCUGCCGCCCCAAGCUACCCUGCCGCCCCAAGCUACCCUGCCGCCCCAAGCUACCCUGCCGCCCCAAGCUACCCUGCCGCCCCAAGCUACCCUGCCUUUGAAGCUAUGUCGAACACAGAAGUCAAAUGUUUUGUAUAAUGAUGGUCAAUGUCGCAGUUCACAAUGCUUACAGCUUGACAUAAACACAAAGGUAUACCAAAGUAUGCACAAACGAGGUAUACCUGGAUUCCUUCCUUUUAAAUAUUUCAAUGUCGGGAAUAGUUACAUCUUGUAACAUCAGUCUUCCAGUCAAGCCUUCAGUUUGAUUAUGGGCAAAAAAAGAAAGAAAGUAUUUUGGGAGAUCCUAAUGCUUCUUUUCCCCACAGCGUCUAAGGACUCAUCUAUAUUUACAUCAUAUACCAUUUAACCUGCAGCACUGUACAGGUCUGUAAAUAAAUCAAUGACAAAAAAAAUGUGACGACAAUAAAGCUGAAAUCUAUGCCUUCUACC